UACGUAGGUGGCAAGCGUUGUCCGGAUUUACUGGGCGUAAAGAGCGCGCAGGCGGUCGUUCAAGUCGCGUGUGAAAUCCCCGGGCUCAACCUGGGAACUGCAUUUGUGACUGCAUGGCUGGAGUGCGGCAGAGGGGGAUGGAAUUCCGCGUGUAGCAGUGAAAUGCGUAGAUAUGCGGAGGAACACCGAUGGCGAAGGCAAUCCCCUGGGCCUGCACUGACGCUCAUGCACGAAAGCGUGGGGAGCAAACAGG
This 253-nucleotide ribosomal RNA is filed under the name uncultured bacterium. RNAcentral's name for it is "partial 16S ribosomal RNA". It matches the Rfam family "Bacterial small subunit ribosomal RNA", at positions 524 to 776 of the family's 1533-position model. The record is from RNAcentral.